Molecule: ribosomal RNA, 426 nt
Filed under: uncultured bacterium
Lineage: Bacteria
Description: partial 16S ribosomal RNA
Rfam family: Bacterial small subunit ribosomal RNA
Source: RNAcentral
UGGGGAAUAUUGCACAAUGGGCGCAAGCCUGAUGCAGCCAUGCCGCGUGUAUGAAGAAGGCCUUCGGGUUGUAAAGUACUUUCAGCGAGGAGGAAGGCGUUGUGGUUAAUAACCGCAGCGAUUGACGUUACUCGCAGAAGAAGCACCGGCUAACUCCGUGCCAGCAGCCGCGGUAAUACGGAGGGUGCAAGCGUUAAUCGGAAUUACUGGGUGUAAAGCGCACGCAGGCGGUCUGUCAAGUCGGAUGUGAAAUCCCCGGGCUCAACCUGGGAACUGCAUCCGAAACUGGCAGGCUAGAGUCUUGUAGAGGGGGGUAGAAUUCCAGGUGUAGCGGUGAAAUGCGUAGAGAUCUGGAGGAAUACCGGUGGCGAAGGCGGCCCCUGGACAAAGACUGACGCUCAGGUGCGAAAGCGUGGGGAGCAAACA